Molecule: long non-coding RNA, 3467 nt
Organism: Epinephelus lanceolatus (giant grouper)
Lineage: Eukaryota; Metazoa; Chordata; Actinopteri; Perciformes; Serranidae
Source: RefSeq, a predicted model, not a curated record
ACAGGAAGCUGGCCUACUCCUGAAUACAAAUAAUGCAAAUUCUACCAGGACAAGCUGACUUACCUGGGCCACAUCAUAAGUAAGUGUAUCCGGGAUGAAAAUCUAUUUAAUCCAAGGAGGACGUCCGUUAUUUAACGGUUAUUUUAUGUUAUGUUAUGUUCAUUAUUAAUAUAACAAAGUCCGCCAUAUGAGUGCGUAAGUUCCGGUCACGUAGUGUUGCGUCGUCACGUACGUACCUGGGAGGCCGCGGCUGUCCAAUUGCGUCGCUCGUAGCGCCUGUUACAAGCUGUCUGCUCCGUCUCUCAUUCAGAAGGUGAGGGGAAGCAUGCGGAGCAGCUGCUACAGGUCGGUCGCUAUAAACAAAUACUAUUUUCACUCAUAAACUCUUGGUUAUAUCAUUCUAAAUGCCGCCGUUACAUCAUUCAACCCUUUUAGACAUCAACCAGCGCCGGGGAGGGAUAAGUUGGUCAUAUGGUGCGUCGGAUAUAUUCUGGAAUUGGCCAGGUGCUUGUACAGACGCAGAAUCGAAUCGAUGGCGAGCUAAGACACUGGCCUCGGAGCCGAGCAGUCCCAGUUAAGAGCUCUCCUGGUCUGGUAGGAGGCUCUGGCAGCCUUGUUCCCCCCUCACCUUCUCUUACAUCCACACACACAUACCACUCGCAUUUUGAGGCUUCUAGCCCAUGGACAGUUGACAUAUUGGACUCUACCUUUGCGGCGCACAUGCUGGACUGUUUUUGAGCGCCUCAUCCUCUAUGAACUCUGUGCCUUUGCGAUACGCAAUAUUGUGUGUGGAACUGCUGCCAUAUUGGCUACCACUGAGACUGGUUUUGAUUUGAAUGUUGUUGAUGCAUCAGACGUGUCAAGUGCACUUUUCUAUUUAAUUCAUGUACUCUGCAGACUGUAAAUAUUGGGGUCACUGUAUGUAUUGUCAUGCAUUAAUAUAUGGUACCAACCGCAUCUGAAGUGCUGUUUGUUGUGUUUUAUUGUACCACUACCUCUAAGAAUCGAACCUGUCUUCUGUAGACCUAGGCCCAAAAGCUAGCUUAAUACUAAUAUAAUAAUCAUACCAUAUCAUCAUAAUUUAGCCUGUGUACUGGCUACAUAAGGAUGGUCUGCUGCCAAAUAAUGAUCACAUUGCAGCUAUUUGUGAUGCUCCAUCACCGAGCCAUGCUGCGUCCCUCAGGUCCUUCCUGGGCCUGACAUUGUGGUACUCCAAGUUCAUACAAAACUAUGCAACCGUUGUGGAGCUAAUUAGAAAUGUGCUGCAUGACACUACAUUCACAUGGACUUCACAGAACAGCUUCCAUGAAGUCAAACUGCUUAUUACUGACUGUCCAGCACUUGCCAUGUUUGACCCCUCACUGCCCGCAGCAGACUGCCUUUCACGAUUGCCACUGCCAUGUGAAGAGGAUGGCUCCCCAGACAUGGAACCAGAGAUUGUGGCUGCCAUUUCCGCCCUUUUAACUGCCAUUCCCAUGUCUGACUUCACAGAUGUCUGCUCUUUCUGCCCAGAGCUAAGCAAGCUGCGCACCUACAUGACUAAAGGGUGGCCUGCAUCAUCCAAAAGCCUGCCGGCAGACAUGAUACCUUAGGUGUGAAAUGAACUGUCAGUGUACAACUCACUGAUUUUGAGAGGGACUCACAAAAUAGUGGUGCCAGUAAAGCUACGUUCCCACAUGAUACACCUAGCACACGAGAGCCACCAAAGCAUAAUACGUACAAAACAGAGACUCAGAGACUUGUAUUGGUGGCCUAAGAUGGACGUGUUGGUAGAGUCUGUCAUUGCUACCUGUGUGUCCUGUCAGCUGAAUGACAAGACAACAAGAACUGCCCCUGCACCCAUGACACCAGUCCCUUUGCCUGAUGGACCCUGGCAAAAGCUUGCUGUCGACAUUGCUGGCCCAUUUGAGACUGGCCCUGCUGACUGCAAUUUCUCUAUUACCAUGGUGGACUACUAUUCAAAGUGGCCAGAGUUGUGUUUUGCUCCACAGUGCACCACUGCUACAGUGAUAAGCUUCAUGAGAUCUGUAUUCAGCCAAAAAGGAAACCCCAUGGCUGUGGUAACAGACAAUGGUCCAAAGCUAACAUCCUAAGAACCCUUCUCUUUCCUUGAGAAACGAGAUAUCCAACACAUCAGGACUACAAUCAGCUUUGAGUUAGCUGUUAACUGAUGCUGACUACUAUUUAUUUAAAAAAACAAUUGGGGGCAUUUUUGCCUUUGUGAGAAUAGUUGAGGACAGACAGGAUGGGUGGGAGGGAGAGAGAGAGGGGGAUGACAUGCAGAAAAGGGCCACAGGUCUCAAUGGAACCAGGGCCCUAUUUCAGAAAGCAGGAUUUGUGAAAACUCUGAGUAUGCUGAGCCUGAGAUGAGGGAAACUCUGACUUUUCUGUUUCACAAAGCCAGUUCAGCGUAACCCUGAGUCAGUUACAGUCGCGGUUCUAGGGGCAGGGCCACAGGGGCAUUGGCCCCAUCUGAAAUCUAAUUGGCCCCCUGAAGUGCCCCUGUCCUGUCACUCAUCUGUUGUUUUGUCCGAGAAUGACAAUCAGCUUAUUGGUGCAAUUCUGUGCCCAACAACUGGUGGCAGUAGUGCGCAAAAUAGGCACGUCCACUGUCAAUAAAGCUGACAGAAGACGAUAAUUUGAAAGAACUCAGGUUCACACUCCAACGAUACCACAGCGAUAGGUGGGCUGGAGACAACAUGGAGAACCGCCCGAUGGCAGUCAACGUUUUGUAGAGAUUGUUGGUAAGUCACAAAUCCCCAGGGUUGUCACUAAUGUUUGAAAGAACAUUAAUUGCUGCCGUCACUCAGUCUGACAAACAUUAAAUUAAGAAGCAGCAGUAAGCUAUUAGUUAGCAUUAGCUUUCGCUAAUACAUGUAAUGCUAAUCAAUGUGCGUUACUUCUUCAUAAUUUGCAUUUUUGUGUUAACAUUAACCAUAAUGUUUGGUAGCAAUUCAGAGUAUGAAAAGAAAGGGUCAGUCUCAGACGGGUAUUCAGCGGUUUUUGGCCAAAAGAACCUGUCUACCAGCCGCUAAAAAAAUGAGCAGGGAGAGUGUGAUAGAGGAUGGUCGACCAGAGGCUGGUCACGGUCAAGAGCAGGGCAGCUCCAAUCCCUCUUCACCAGGUCAGACAUCAUCUAGGCGCAGCAACAACAGUAACUCUGUAAUGUAUGAUAUGGCUGGUAUUGUUAUGAAAUGGCACAGAAGUUAAGUAAUUGUCAUACUGUAAAACCCAAUUGACAUUGGCGCUAAAUGUUUGGAGAUUUUCUGCUUGAGGAGUAACUUUAGCAAUUAGCUGGUAACUUGAAUGUUAAAACUCAUAACACACUUGUUUGUACCAAUUUACUAGUAAUUGUAAUUGUAAAAGUGCUAUUGUGAGAAUCUCCGCCACAUUUUCGUUAGUGGGCACUCUAUAUUUUACCUCUGUUUGUUUGUGACUAUUGUGAAUAAAAAUGGUGAAAACAGUAA